AUACGAAGGGGGCAAGCGUUGUUCGGAAUAACUGGGCGUAAAGCGCACGUAGGCGGAAUGUUAAGUUAGAGGUGAAAUCCCAGGGCUCAACCCUGGAACGGCCUUUAAUACUGGCAAUCUAGAGACCGAGAGAGGUGAGUGGAAUUCCGAGUGUAGAGGUGAAAUUCGUAGAUAUUCGGAGGAACACCAGUGGCGAAGGCGGCUCACUGGCUCGGUUCUGACGCUGAGGUGCGAAAGCGUGGGGAGCAAACGGGAUUAGAAACCCUAGUAGUCC
RNAcentral lists this ribosomal RNA (274 nucleotides) under uncultured bacterium. RNAcentral describes it as "partial 16S ribosomal RNA". It matches the Rfam family "Bacterial small subunit ribosomal RNA", at positions 523 to 796 of the family's 1533-position model. The record is from RNAcentral.